GAUGAACGCUGGCGGCGUGCCUAAUACAUGCAAGUCGAGCGAACGGACGAGAAGCUUGCUUCUCUGAUGUUAGCGGCGGACGGGUGAGUAACACGUGGAUAACCUACCUAUAAGACUGGGAUAACUUCGGGAAACCGGAGCUAAUACCGGAUAAUAUUUUGAACCGCAUGGUUCAAAAGUGAAAGACGGUCUUGCUGUCACUUAUAGAUGGAUCCGCGCUGCAUUAGCUAGUUGGUAAGGUAACGGCUUACCAAGGCAACGAUGCAUAGCCGACCUGAGAGGGGGAUAGGCCACACUGGAACUGAGACAAGGUCCAGACUCCUACGGGAGGCAGCAGUAGGGAAUCUUCCGCAAUGGGCGAAAGCCUGACGGAGCAACGCCGCGUGAGUGAUGAAGGUCUUCGGAUCGUAAAACUCUGUUAUUAGGGAAGAACAUAUGUGUAAGUAACUGUGCACAUCUUGACGGUACCUAAUCAGAAAGCCACGGCUAACUACGUG
RNAcentral lists this ribosomal RNA (497 nucleotides) under uncultured bacterium. RNAcentral describes it as "partial 16S ribosomal RNA". It matches the Rfam family "Bacterial small subunit ribosomal RNA", at positions 28 to 507 of the family's 1533-position model. The record is from RNAcentral.